CCUACGGGGAGCAGCAGUGGGGAAUAUUGGGCAAUGGGCGCAAGCCUGACCCAGCAACGCCGCGUGAAGGAAGAAGGCUUUCGGGUUGUAAACUUCUUUUGUCAGGGAAGAGUAGAAGACGGUACCUGACGAAUAAGCCACGGCUAACUACGUGCCAGCAGCCGCGGUAAUACGUAGGUGGCAAGCGUUGUCCGGAUUUACUGGGUGUAAAGGGCGUGUAGCCGGGUUGACAAGUCAGAUGUGAAAUCCUGCGGCUUAACCGUAGAACUGCAUUUGACACUGUUGAUCUUGAGUACUGGAGAGGCAGGCGGAAUUCCUAGUGUAGCGGUGAAAUGCGUAGAUAUUAAGAGGAACACCAGUGGCGAAGGCGGUCUGCUAGACAGCAACUGACGGUGAGGCGCGAAAGCGUGGGGAGCAAACAGGAUUAGAUACCCGGGUAGUC
Molecule: ribosomal RNA, 442 nt
Filed under: uncultured bacterium
Lineage: Bacteria
Description: partial 16S ribosomal RNA
Rfam family: Bacterial small subunit ribosomal RNA
Source: RNAcentral